UACGGAGGGUGCUAGCGUUGUUCGGAAUCACUGGGCGUAAAGGGCGUGUAGGCGGUCUGUUAAGUCUGAUGUGAAAUCCCCUCGCUCAACGAGGGAACUGCGUCGGAUACUGGCAGACUCGAGUACCGGAGAGGAAGGUGGAAUUCCCGGUGUAGUGGUGGAAUGCGUAGAUAUCGGGAGGAACACCAGUGGCGAAGGCGGUUACCUGGAGCUUUGCUGACGCUGAUGCGCGAAAGCGUGGGGAGCGAUCCGG
RNAcentral lists this ribosomal RNA (253 nucleotides) under uncultured bacterium. Its description in RNAcentral is "partial 16S ribosomal RNA". It matches the Rfam family "Bacterial small subunit ribosomal RNA", at positions 524 to 776 of the family's 1533-position model. The record is from RNAcentral.